UCGACUUCAGCAAUGCCAGAGGCAGAGCC
This 29-nucleotide small RNA is filed under the name Bombyx mori (domestic silkworm). Its description in RNAcentral is "ovarian small RNA-28348". The record is from RNAcentral. Lineage: Eukaryota; Metazoa; Arthropoda; Insecta; Lepidoptera; Bombycidae.